AUACGGAGGAUGCGAGCGUUAUCCGGAUUUAUUGGGUUUAAAGGGUGCGUAGGCGGACGAUUAAGUCAGCUGUGAAAUGCCGGCGCUCAACGUCGGAAGUGCCUCCCGAACUGGUGGACUGGAAUGACUCUGCCGUGGGAGGAAUGUGUAGUGUAGCGGUGAAAUGCUUAGAGAUUACACAGAACACCGAUUGCGAAGGCAUCUCACGAAGGGUUGAUUGACGCUGAGGCACGAAAGCGUGGGGAUCAAACAGGAUUAGAUACCCUGGUAGUCCACGCAGUAAACGAUGAUUACUAGCUGUUUGCGAUAUACAGUAAGUGGCACAGCGAAAGCGUUAAGUAAUCCACCUGGGGAGUACGCCGGCAACGGUGAAACUCAAAUGAAUUGGCGGGG
Molecule: ribosomal RNA, 393 nt
Filed under: uncultured bacterium
Lineage: Bacteria
Description: partial 16S ribosomal RNA
Rfam family: Bacterial small subunit ribosomal RNA
Source: RNAcentral